This 253-nucleotide ribosomal RNA is filed under the name uncultured bacterium. RNAcentral describes it as "partial 16S ribosomal RNA". It matches the Rfam family "Bacterial small subunit ribosomal RNA", at positions 524 to 776 of the family's 1533-position model. The record is from RNAcentral. RNAcentral also lists the same sequence under 1 other name.
AACGUAGGAGGCGAGCGUUAUCCGGAUUUACUGGGUGUAAAGCGCGUGCAGGCGGUUAGCUAAGUUGGGUGUGAAAGCUCCCGGCUCAACUGGGAGAGGUCGCUCAAGACUGGCUGGCUCGAGGAUGGUAGGGGAAGGUGGAAUUCCGGGUGUAGUGGUGAAAUGCGUAGAUAUCCGGAGGAACACCAGUGGCGAAGGCGGCCUUCUGGACCAUCACUGACGCUCAGACGCGAAAGCUAGGGUAGCAAACGGG